RNAcentral lists this ribosomal RNA (393 nucleotides) under uncultured bacterium. RNAcentral's name for it is "partial 16S ribosomal RNA". It matches the Rfam family "Bacterial small subunit ribosomal RNA", at positions 523 to 918 of the family's 1533-position model. The record is from RNAcentral.
AUACGGAGGAUGCGAGCGUUAUCCGGAUUUAUUGGGUUUAAAGGGUGCGUAGGCGGUUUUUUAAGUCAGCGGUGAAACGCAAGGGCUCAACCCUUGACCUGCCGUUGAAACUGGAGGACUUGAAUGCGGAUGCUGUGGGAGGAAUGUGUGGUGUAGCGGUGAAAUGCAUAGAUAUCACACAGAACACCGAUUGCGAAGGCAUCUCACAAAACCGGGAUUGACGCUGAGGCACGAAAGUGUGGGGAUCAAACAGGAUUAGAUACCCUGGUAGUCCACACUGUAAACGAUGAUGACUCGCUGUCGGCGAUAGACAGUCGGUGGCCAAGCGAAAGCGAUAAGUCAUCCACCUGGGGAGUACGACCGCAAGGUUGAAACUCAAAGGAAUUGACGGGG